This 273-nucleotide ribosomal RNA is filed under the name uncultured bacterium. RNAcentral's name for it is "partial 16S ribosomal RNA". It matches the Rfam family "Bacterial small subunit ribosomal RNA", at positions 524 to 796 of the family's 1533-position model. The record is from RNAcentral.
GACGAACCGUCCGAACGUUAUUCGGAAUCACUGGGCUUAAAGAGUGCGUAGGCGGCUUGCCAGGCGGGGUGUGAAAUCCUUCGGCCCAACCGAAGAAUUGCGCUCCGAACCGGCAGGCUCGAGGAAGAUAGGGGCGAGCGGAACAGAUGGUGGAGCGGUGAAAUGCGUUGAUAUCAUCUGGAACACCUGUGGCGAAAGCGGCUCGCUGGGUCUUUUCUGACGCUGAGGCACGAAAGCCAGGGUAGCGAACGGGAUUAGAAACCCCCGUAGUCC